AGUGAACGCUGGCGGUAGGCCUAACACAUGCAAGUCGAACGGCAGCACAGUAAGAGCUUGCUCUUACGGGUGGCGAGUGGCGGACGGGUGAGGAAUACAUCGGAAUCUACUUUUUCGUGGGGGAUAACGUAGGGAAACUUACGCUAAUACCGCAUCCGACCUACGGGUGAAAGCAGGGGAUCUUCGGACCUUGCGCGAUUGAAUGAGCCGAUGUCGGGUUAGCUAGUUGGCGGGGUAAAGGCCCACCAAGGCGACGAUCCGUAGCUGGUCUGAGAGGAUGAUCGGCCACACUGGAACUGGGACACGGUCCAGACUCCGACGGGAGGCAGCAGUGGGGAAUGUUGGACAAUGGGCGGAAGCCUGAUCCAGCCAUACCGCGUGGGUGAAGAAGGCCUUCGGGUUGUAAAGCCGUUUUGUUGGGAAAGAAAAGCAGCAGGUUAAUACCCCGCUGUUCUGACGGUACCCAAAGAAUAAGCACCGGCUAACUUCGUG
RNAcentral lists this ribosomal RNA (492 nucleotides) under uncultured bacterium. RNAcentral describes it as "partial 16S ribosomal RNA". It matches the Rfam family "Bacterial small subunit ribosomal RNA", at positions 29 to 507 of the family's 1533-position model. The record is from RNAcentral.